Zophobas morio is the source of this 1350-nucleotide long non-coding RNA. RefSeq lists it as uncharacterized. NCBI's taxonomy places the organism in Eukaryota, Metazoa, Arthropoda, Insecta, Coleoptera, Tenebrionidae. The transcript has 2 exons. The record is from RefSeq and is a predicted model, not a curated record.
UCUGUCCUCAUAACCACCUCAUAACCACGUAGGAAUGAAUGGAAUGAGUUAGAGUUAAAUUAUAUUCAUUCGUGCAUGAUCAUUUCAUGAGCUUUUUUAUUGUUACCUGCCGGACAUUUACGUUUGUACUGGACUGUACUGUACAUUGUGUUAUAAAUACAGAUAAUGCGCCAUAAAAAUGUUAUUCAAACCUAACCCCGUUGGUGGAGAAUUUGACAGCUAAAUAAGAACUACAAUUUGGUUGGAAGUAAACAUGCAUGAAUUCUGAAGCCAUUAAUGCGAAAAAAUGAAUUAUACUGUAUCUGCCUUAGCUAUUAGUGCAAGAGCUGUCGAUGUUGUAAUAAUGUAGUUCAUUCAACAAGAAAAAAGCAGAGAGGGUCUCUAAAGAAAAAAGUGUACUUGCUUCCUAUCUGAGAGUGUUCGUAUCAAACGGUGAAAAAAAACACCUUUAUUAGUUGUGAAGGAGUUAUGUCAGUUAUUUCCAACUGAUACUCGAUGUGGAACCAAAUAUUGUUCAUGCACAUUAUAUAAAACUACGUGAAAAAUUAUAGUGGAAUGAAACUUGUGUACAGCUGGAUGCAAUCAUAUGGAUAUAUUUGAAAAUGGUUAGGUAACUAGAUCGGAGCAAAAUAUGUUACAAUAAAAUUUUAUUAUCACAAUAUUUUUAUAAACAAAUCUCGAAAAAAUUCUGAUGCCUAUGAGAAGAACCUAGAGUAUUGGUACAUUUUACAAGGACCACCUUGAAGAAAACAAUUUUUAUCACAUCACGACGGCAUUGUGCAAACAUUUAAAGAUAUUACUAAAAUAAUACAAGCAGGUAAUGAUAAGAGUGAGAUUUUUUUUCCAUGUUUUCAUAAAUAUAUUGAAUUGAUUUUAAAUAUAUGUAGUAAAGUUCGCUGUCUUAGACAAAUUAUAAAAGUUGAUUUUGUACAAUUAUAAUGCCUAUGUAGGAUAAAAGUAAUAAUAAUAAAAAAGUUUAUUUUUUUAUUGAUUUAAUCAUAUAUCUAAUAGUACUAUAUUGCUAACAGGCCUCAAAAGAGUCCGAAAACAUAACGGCAGAGCAAUAUAUAGGACCUCUCUGUCUCUCUGUGGUACUAAACAGUACUGGGCAUACACUCGUACUUGCUUGAUUUGUACUCAAUAGCGUGAUUGGAGGCGUUUUGACAUUUCGUACUUUCACUUUUAUUUUGUGUACAUGCGCACAGACCCUCGGUACUCUUAUAGACAGAAAACAACAUCUUCUGUCUCUCUCUGUCCGUGAACACCGUUUCUAUGUUACUUCUGAAGAGUUAGCAAUAUAGUAGUAUUAGAUAUAUGGAUUUAAUCAAUAGAAUUAACCAAUUCAUUCAC